Molecule: unclassified non-coding RNA, 240 nt
Filed under: soil metagenome
Description: partial contains 5.8S ribosomal RNA, internal transcribed spacer 2, and large subunit ribosomal RNA
Source: RNAcentral
AACCUUAUGGACCUGCGGGCGUAUACCUGCGGAAGGAUCAUUACCGAGUUUACAAACUCCCAACCCUAUGUGAACCUUACCAAUCGUUGCUUCGGCGGGCUUAGCCCCCGCGCCCUCGCCGGCGCCGGGAGAAAGGCGCCCGCCGGGGACCCCAAACCCAAUGUUUUUCAUGCAGUAUUUCUGAGUGGCAAACGCAAAAAUAAAUCAAAACUUUUAGCAAUGGAUCUCAGAUCGGAAGAG